GCCUGGCUGGCUCAGUUGGUAGAGCAUGUGACUCUUGAUCUUGGGAUCGUGAGUUCAAGCCCCACGUUGGGCA
This 73-nucleotide transfer RNA is filed under the name Ailuropoda melanoleuca (giant panda). It matches the Rfam family "tRNA". From Rfam's summary of the family: Transfer RNA (tRNA) molecules are approximately 80 nucleotides in length. The record is from Rfam by way of RNAcentral. Lineage: Eukaryota; Metazoa; Chordata; Mammalia; Carnivora; Ursidae.